This 672-nucleotide long non-coding RNA is filed under the name Pongo abelii (Sumatran orangutan). Its description in RNAcentral is "lincRNA". Lineage: Eukaryota; Metazoa; Chordata; Mammalia; Primates; Hominidae. The record is from RNAcentral.
AGAGGGAAGAAUGAGAAGUGACUACUUCAUGGAUACAAGGUUUUCUCUGGGGAUGAUGAAAAUAUUUUGACAUCUGAUAAAGGUGGUGGUAGUACAGCAUUGCGAAUGUACUAAUUGCCACUGAAUUGUGCAUUUUAAAGUGAUUGAUUUUAUGUGGAGCAAAUUUCACUUUAAUUAUAAAAAGUGAAUAAACUUUUAGAAGCUAACCUUGGGAAAAGGUAGAGACUGGAAGGGAUCACAAGAAAGGCUUCUGAGAUGUUGGUUGAUUUCUCUAAGAAGUACAUGCUGAAAUGAAGUUAAGAGUACAAAAUAUUUAUUGGAGAGUAGUAACACAGAGGAGACACAGGAUUUGGCAGAAAUACUAAACCAUGGUGAAAACCUGCUAAAGUCUGUUUGUCCAAAGGGGAGCUCUAAAGUAAAUAUGAGCCAUUAAGGGAGCCCCACACUGGAUGGAAAUGGCCAAGCCCUUUUACAACCACCUUCUCCUUCAGACACUGCCUGCAAUUCACCCUGGGAAAGCAAAACCUCAACUGUUUCUGCCUCAUUCAGUCUUUGUCAGUGCCCUAAGAAGAUUGAGAUUUGAGCUUGUAACUGUUGAAGCAAAACCUAAAGCGGUUAAUAAUGGGAAUUUGUCACAACUAUCUUAACACAAAUAUAAAAUAUUUGCAUGAA